RNAcentral lists this ribosomal RNA (501 nucleotides) under uncultured bacterium. Its description in RNAcentral is "partial 16S ribosomal RNA". It matches the Rfam family "Bacterial small subunit ribosomal RNA", at positions 30 to 523 of the family's 1533-position model. The record is from RNAcentral.
AUUGAACGCUGGCGGCAGGCCUAACACAUGCAAGUCGAGCGGGGGAAGGUAGCUUGCUACUGGACCUAGCGGCGGACGGGUGAGUAAUGCUUAGGAAUCUGCCUAUUAGUGGGGGACAACAUCUCGAAAGGGAUGCUAAUACCGCAUACGUCCUACGGGAGAAAGCAGGGGAUCUUCGGACCUUGCGCUAAUAGAUGAGCCUAAGUCGGAUUAGCUAGUUGGUGGGGUAAAGGCCUACCAAGGCGACGAUCUGUAGCGGGUCUGAGAGGAUGAGCCGCCACACUGGGACUGAGACACGGCCCAGACUCCUACGGGAGGCAGCAGUGGGGAAUAUUGGACAAUGGGGGGAACCCUGAUCCAGCCAUGCCGCGUGUAUGAAGAAGGCCUUAUGGUUGUAAAGCACUUUAAGCGAGGAGGAGGCUACUUUAGUUAAUACCUAGAGAUAGUGGACGUUACUCGCAGAAUAAGCACCGGCUAACUCUGUGCCAGCCGCCGCGGUAA